AUACCCUUUCCUGCGGAAUAGCUCCGGGAAACUGGAAUUAAUACCGCAUACGCCCUACGGGGGAAAGAUUUAUCGGGGAAGGAUUGGCCCGCGUUGGAUUAGCUAGUUGGUGGGGUAAAGGCCUACCAAGGCGACGAUCCAUAGCUGGUCUGAGAGGAUGAUCAGCCACGUUGGGACUGAGACACGGCCCAAACUCCUACGGGAGGCAGCAGUGGGGAAUAUUGGACAAUGGGCGCAAGCCUGAUCCAGCCAUGCCGCGUGAGUGAUGAAGGCCUUAGGGUUGUAAAGCUCUUUCACCGGAGAAAAUAAUGACGGUUUCCGGAGAAAAAGCCCCGGCUAACUUCGUGCCAGCAGCCGCGGUAAUACGAAGGGGGCUACCGUUGUUCGGAAUUACUGGGCGUAAACCCCACGUAGGCGAAAUAUUUAAG
Molecule: ribosomal RNA, 428 nt
Filed under: uncultured bacterium
Lineage: Bacteria
Description: bacterial SSU rRNA
Rfam family: Bacterial small subunit ribosomal RNA
Source: RNAcentral